UCGAAGCCUCAUAAGCAGUGCGACCCAGUGAAUUUGUUUUACUACUCAAGGGUGGCUAUAGGUGUUUUGCACCUUGGCCCCCCUUGUGUCGGAAGGUAGCCCACCUUGCGUGGUCUCCUCCUGGCCUUUAACAAAACCCCGGCGCUGAAUGCGCCAAGGAAAUUGAAAUUGUUUAGUGCACCCCCGUCGGCCCGGAGACGGUGCCGUGCGGGUGGUGUUGCGACACGCGUAUCCGAA
Molecule: ribosomal RNA, 237 nt
Filed under: Genista germanica
Lineage: Eukaryota; Viridiplantae; Streptophyta; Magnoliopsida; Fabales; Fabaceae
Source: RNAcentral